Molecule: small RNA, 148 nt
Filed under: Pongo abelii (Sumatran orangutan)
Lineage: Eukaryota; Metazoa; Chordata; Mammalia; Primates; Hominidae
Description: Metazoan signal recognition particle RNA (ENSPPYG00000033819.1)
Rfam family: Metazoan signal recognition particle RNA
About the family: The signal recognition particle (SRP) is a universally conserved ribonucleoprotein. It is involved in the co-translational targeting of proteins to membranes. The eukaryotic SRP consists of a 300-nucleotide 7S RNA and six proteins: SRPs 72, 68, 54, 19, 14, and 9.
Source: Rfam by way of RNAcentral
GCUGGGCAUAGUGGCUUAUGCCUGUAAUCCCAGCUACUCGGGAGGCUGAGGCAGGAGAAUCGCUUGAACCCAGGAAGCAGAGGUUGCAGUGAGUGGAGAUUGCGCCACUGCACUCCAGCCUGGGUGACAAAGCGAGACUCUGUCUCCA